This 489-nucleotide ribosomal RNA is filed under the name uncultured bacterium. RNAcentral describes it as "bacterial SSU rRNA". It matches the Rfam family "Bacterial small subunit ribosomal RNA", at positions 28 to 509 of the family's 1533-position model. The record is from RNAcentral.
GAUGAACGCUAGCGGCAGGCUUAACACAUGCAAGUCGAGGGGCAGCGCGAUGUAGCAAUACAUUGGCGGCGACCGGCGCACGGGUGCGUAACACGUAUGGAAUCUGCCCUGUACUGGAAGAUAACCCGGCGAAAGUCGGACUAAUAUCCCAUAAUAGCCGAGGUGGCAUCACCUUGGUUUGAAAGCUCCGGCGGUACAGGAUGACCAUGCGCACGAUUAGCUAGUUGGUGAGGUAACGGCUCACCAAGGCUACGAUCGUUAGGGGGCCUGAGAGGGUUAUCCCCCACACUGGUACUGAGACACGGACCAGACUCCUACGGGAGGCAGCAGUGAGGAAUAUUGGACAAUGGGCGAAAGCCUGAUCCAGCCAUGCCGCGUGCAGGAAGAAGGCCUUGGGUUGUAAACUGCUUUAGUCUAGGAAAAGGGUGCGAGGUUAAUACCUCGUGCUUUGAUGGUACUGGAAGAAUAAGCACCGGCUAACUACGUGCC